AUGGUGGAUGACUGUCUUCCUGUGCAUUGUGCACCUCCCAUCAGCUCUCAGAUCAUAAGGGGCCCUUCCAAGUAUGUGCCCUCCCUGGGCUGCCGGGUCCCCCGUGCGCUCUCUCCGCAGGAAGGAUGGUGUCUCACCUGCACGGCAAUGGGAACACCUGUGGUUUGGUCCCGGUGUCCCGGCGUCCUGGAAGGGGUCUACCAUGCUCUCCAUAAGCUACCCAUGGGCUGGGGCUUAUGGAACGCCGUCUCCAUAGGGUCUGAAGGAGGGUCUCUGCUCCACCACUCAGGUUACUACGGCAACACCGACUGGGACUACGGCCGCUACCCGCCCAGACCCAAGCCGCCCGCAGCAGGUGGUGGCAGUUACUACCCCAGCCACGACGGGUCCGGAAACACGCACGGAGGAGGGCGCUCUAGACCCAACUCUUACGGAAAUAAUUACGGCGGAGACGGAUACUCGACCUACGGGAACGCACAGGGUAACACAGUAGCGAAAAUCGUGUCUCCCAUCGUGUCCGUGCUGGUGGUCACGCUGGUGGGAGCGGCGGCUGGUUAUUGCCAACGGAACAGAAGGAGAAACUGUUUCAGGGCAAAUGAACCAGUGCACGUGUGAGGGUUCGAGAUUCAGCGGUCGCCAUGGGAGAAGCUCGGUGUGGACCGGAACCCCUUCGGCCGCUCCUGGGACACCUCCUUCCGUUGCCGACGUCUCCCGCCACCCCGAAGUGUUUUUUCUGUUUGGCACAGAUGACCCGUCAAUGAAAGCAUCCCCCAUCCACUGCACGGGGUGCGUGCAUGAGGAUAACUGGGCUCCUCCUUGCGCCCUGCGGAGAUGAUUGCUUCAUCUGUUGGUUCGAUCGUGGAUGUGGAUAGAUGCCGAGUGCAUCUUGGGUUCCCAGCACUACGUCAUGGUUUGGGACGUGCACGUGGGUGACCCUUGGGGGUGUUGCUCCAAAGCCCAGUGGGGGUCCCAGGGCACGGGGUCGUGGGCAGGGGUGCUGUCUUCUUUGGGGGUAUCGGGAAUGCCACUGGGGGUGGGGGGUUUGCAGCAAGCUCUGGGGAGAAGCUUGACCCGGGCUGAGGGUUCAUCAGGGAGCCAGUGCCCACCAGUCUGGCGGAUACAGGAAUUCCUGCCACUCGGGGUCGGCUUUGUCCAGCCCUCCCUCCCCUGUCCCCAACUUGCACACAAGGAAGCUGGGUUUUGGGAUUGUGCAUGCACAGUCAUUCGAGUGCAAGCCAUCGUGGGGGUGGGGGUGGGGGUGGGGGGGAGGCAGCCUGGGGAUGCUUUUUCCUUUCCCCGUGAAAUCUUACGGUUUCGGGAUUUCUGGGAAACUAGGGGACGGCGGUCGUGAUGUGUGUCUCUUGACUGUUCUCGUAUUAGUUUCCAUCUGAUGCUCUGUAGGUCUCUGAGCAACGCCAUCCUUUUUCUUAGUUGAUGCUUUGUUUUGGACCCGUAGUAGAGACCCUUAAAUGCUCCCGCAUCUGAAAUGCAUACUACCUAUUUGCUUCUAUGUUCAUAUCACUUUAGGGGCAAGGAAAAAGGACCCUUUGGGUUUAUUGGUAUAGUUUCAUUCGGCUUAGGUACCUGCUUAUAGAACUUUUGCACUUCGCCCCAAAUAUCAGAAUAGAGACAAUUAUUGCCAUGUGGGACUCACGGAGAGGACCUGGAGAAGUCCUAAAUAUGCAUGCUUCGUGCUCACCGUGAUGGAUGGGGAGCUCUGUCUCCAAAUAGGGGACCCCGAACGCAGAAAGCCCUAGAAAGAGCUUCCCAAAUGCAAAAAGGAGGUCGCAGCUGAGACUCUCCAUGGGGCGUCUCACGUCAGGGAUCCAUGUACAACUCGAGCCAUUCCAAGACGGCGGCCGUAGUUCCUGUUGGGACGGGAAUGUCCUAGCACACGUCUCAGCUGUUGGCCCUGGGGGACGAAGCCGCAAGGUGGUCGCACGUUUUCUGCGUGUGAGUUUCCGCGUGAGUGUCUUUUGACUCUGGUUAGAAGGGCGUGUGAAUGUGUGUGUGCACGUGUGCGUGGACACAUGCAUUUGCACCUUUGCAUACAGACCUGGACGCCACGGAAGCAUGUAUACAGACGUACGUCCAUCUGGGUUUUUUUUUUCUUUUUCUGUAACUGUCCUACAUCAAUUUCCAUCAUUGCCAAUACAUGUAAAAGAGAAAAGAAUACCCCGCUUGAGUUGCUGUGUUCUUGGUUUCUGUCGUUUCCACCUAAAACGAGGAGGCAUCAUGGGAUAGGUCUCUGACUGACGAAGCUAUCUAUGCAGCUUUGGGGAGCACAUGGGCACCUGUCACGUUCCCGAGGAAGACGUGUUGUCAUUGGCACCAUUUGGAAUAUGGUGGAUGGGGGACACUGAAGCGUAGUUACAGAAUUGGGGAUGAAAAUCACCCAAGUGUGGUACGCCUGGGUGGCUCAGGUGGUUAAGUGUCUGCCUUCGGCUCAGGUCAUGAUUCCAGGGUCCUGGGAUCGAGUCCUGCAUCGGGCUCCCUGCUCAGCAGGGAACCUGCUUCUCCCUUUGCCUCCCCCAGCUUGUGCAUUCUCUCUCAAAUAAAUAAAUGAAAUCUGAAAGAAAGAAAAAGAAAGAAAGGGAAAGAAAGAAAAAGAAAGAAAGAAAGGGAAAGGAAGGGAGGGAGGGUGGGAGGGAGGAAAGGAGGAAGGGAAAGGGAAAGCAAAUCAUCCAAGCGACAAGCGGAAACUAGUUAAUGUUCAACCUAGUUAGAAUAAGAAUAUUUGAAUCAUGGGCACUGGGAUACACAGCAGAAGCAGUUGAUCGAUUGAUUGAUUGAUUGACUGACUGAUGACUGAAGUAUGGUUGACCCAGAGUGUUACAUUAGUUUCAGGUGGAGAGCAUAGGUUCUUACGGACUCACCCAGGGCCACCAGGAAGGCAUGCUUUCCUGCUACAAAAAGGAAAAAUAUUGCAAUUAGCUGCACUCUGCGUGCCCGUGAAGGAAAGAAAGGAUGGUGUUGACCGUAUUGUGUAAAAAGCAACACUCCUCUCCUCUUCCUGGGAGCUCGAGUGUGCCUGGGGGGGUCCAGGCCUGGAAGAACAUGUUCACGUUGCAAUGGAGAGAAACAUGAAAUCAAAUUUUAGGCGGGUCGAGGGGAUGGUGACCCCCACGGGAGCUAUAGAUUUAUUUCCAUUUUCCUGCACGCGCUUGGGAAGAACUCCUGCUCCCUUCUCCAACCCAGUAUCCAUGGCGAGAUGCAACGCUUUGCAGUAGCAGGGGGGAGGCAUGGUCACGCCGAUUGCUGUGUGACUUAUAAAGUGGGGAGAAGAAAUCACACACACACACACACACACACACACACACACACACAGACCCAAGUUAAUAUGUUACAGUUGUAGCUCGAAGCUGCUAGAAUGUGACCUUAUUUGGAAGUAACGUUUGCAGAGGUCAGGAGCUCAGGUCAUCCCGGAGGACGGUGGGCCCUAACCCCAUAGGACUGACGUCCGUGCGAGAGCGGAAUGUGGACACAGACACGCACACAGGGAGAAUAUCGUGCAUCGCUCAGAGCAGAGGGGCCACAAGCCGAGGACCCACCAGACACUGAGGGUGGGGCCCUAUAAUCUUCAGGGGGAGCACAUCCCAGCCCUGGCCAGAUCCCACGCAUCUUACCUCCAGAACUGAGAGAGAGAGAGAAUAAACGUCUGUCGUUGAAGCCCUGAGUCUGUAGGACUUGGCUACGGCAGCCCGAAGAAACUCAUCUCUACAUCACUACACGUUCAGUACAUGUGUUCCUAAUUUAGAAGAAAGGAUGGGGUACUCACUGAGCUCCUCUUGGGACGUAGCCGUGAGGCCGGUCAGGAUUCAUCUCCGGAUGCUGAGCCCAAGUCAUGAGUUCACAGGCUGCCUUCUGCAUUUUGAGCUGUGCAACCCAGCAAGUUAAACGACCUCUCUGGGCUUCAGUUACGUCAUCUGAAGAAUGAGUCUAAGAAUGGGCUCUGCUUCCCCCAAAUGGUGAAGGUCAAUGAGCUCAUGUGUCACAGGCGUUCCCACUCGGCCCUGGUAGGUAGCGAGGGCUGCAGGUGGGACGGAGGAAAAGAAACACGAACGAAGUUUUUUUCUUAAUGUAAAUAGAAUUAGGCUCAUUGCAAUAGAUAGGAUGUUUGUUAGAGUCAGGUGAGAAGUUGAGACCAUGAAAUCAAAACUGCAGACACUCACUAAAAGCACAGAGUGUUUGAGAAUGCAGGUUUCCCUCCCCCCAACCUAUUCUUUCUGUUUUCUGAAUCUAUAACCCUCCAGCUAGGUGCAAGGUUUCCCAGGUGAACUACACUUCCCAGCAACCUUUGCAGGUCAUUACGGUCAUGCGACAGCUCUGGCCAAUGGCAUGACACCUUGAUUUCUGGGGCUGCAGGACCCUCCUGUUUCUCCCAGACUAGCACCUGUCCUCAUGAGGACCAUCAGGAGUUUGGUUUGGGGGAGGGGCUGCCGUGUCACGACCCGGUUGUCCUGUUGGAGGGACCCUUCUCCCGUGGGUCCCCACACCCUACCAAUAAAAAGGGCACAAGCUUCCAGUGAUAAGACCAAAAAGUCCUGGGGUAUCAGGAUGGUCACUUAGUUAACUGUUCUGCACGGUGCAUGGGAAAGUCGCUGAGAGAGCGGAUAAUUGUGUGCCAGGAGGGAGGCGCUGGCUAACGUGAUGUUGGGAAUCACAUUGCAAUGUGGAAGUCUGUUGAAUCCUCAUGGUGCACACCUGGCACUUACAGAAGUUUCUAUGUCCAUUCUACAAAACACUGAAGCCGGAAAGCACACAAAAAACCAGGUCUCAUCUUCCCGCAAGCAGUUUUGCUUGGAGCGUGCGGGGGUCCCCAAGCCUAGAUCUGGCUUGUAGUGUCUUUGGAAAGAUGCUCCCCUUUCUUUGCAUAGCAAAUUCACUAUAAAUGCAAUAUUCCG
Molecule: long non-coding RNA, 4904 nt
Filed under: Ailuropoda melanoleuca (giant panda)
Lineage: Eukaryota; Metazoa; Chordata; Mammalia; Carnivora; Ursidae
Description: lncRNA (ENSAMEG00000029249.1)
Source: RNAcentral